Molecule: ribosomal RNA, 266 nt
Filed under: uncultured bacterium
Lineage: Bacteria
Description: partial 16S ribosomal RNA
Rfam family: Bacterial small subunit ribosomal RNA
Source: RNAcentral
UACGUAGGGGUGCAAGCGUUAAAUCGGAAUUACUGGGGCGUAAAGCGUGCGCAGGCGGUUGUGCAAGACAGAUGUGAAAAUCCCCCGGGCUUAAACCUGGGAAUUGCAUUUUGUGACUGCACGGCUAGAGUGUGUCAGAGGGGGGGUAGAAUUCCACGUGUAGCAGUGAAAAUGCGUAGAUAUGUGGAGGAAUACCGAUGGCGAAGGCAGCCCCCUGGGAUAACACUGAACGCUCAUGCACGAAAGCGUGGGGGAGCAAAACAGGG